Molecule: ribosomal RNA, 466 nt
Filed under: uncultured bacterium
Lineage: Bacteria
Description: partial 16S ribosomal RNA
Rfam family: Bacterial small subunit ribosomal RNA
Source: RNAcentral
GACGAACGCUGGCGGCGUGCUUAACACAUGCAAGUCGAACGGAAAGGCCCUGCUUGCAGGGUACUCGAGUGGCGAACGGGUGAGUAACACGUGGGUGAUCUGCCCUGCACUUCGGGAUAAGCUUGGGAAACUGGGUCUAAUACCGGAUAGGAGCCAUCUUUAGUGUGGUGGUUGGAAAGUUUUUUCGGUGUAGGAUGAGCUCGCGGCCUAUCAGCUUGUUGGUGGGGUAAUGGCCUACCAAGGCGGCGACGGGUAGCCGGCCUGAUAGAGUGUACGGCCACAUUGGGACUGAGAUACGGCCCAGACUCCUACGGGAGGCAGCAAGGGGGAAUAUUGCACAAUGGGCGCAAGCCUGAUGCAGCGACGCCGCGUGGGGGAUGAAGGCCUUCGGGUUGUAAACUCCUUUCGCUAGGGACGAAGCUUUGUUGUGACGGUACCUAGAUAAGAAGCACCGGCUAACUACGUG